CCUACGGGGGGCAGCAGUGAGGAAUUUUCUGCAAUGGGCGCAAGCCUGACAGAGCAAUACCGCGUGAGGGAUGAAGGCCUAUGGGUUGUAAACUUCUUUUCUCAAGGAGGAAGAUCUGACGUUACUUGAGGAAUAAGCAUCGGCUAACCCUGUGCCAGCAGCCGCGGUAAUACAGGGGAUGCAAGUGUUAUCCGGAAUUAUUGGGCGUAAAGCGUCUGUAGGUUGAUAAUUAAGUCUUUUGUUAAACCUUCGGGCUCAACCCGAAAUCUGCAAAAGAAACUAUUUAUCUUGAGUAUGGUAGAGGUAAAGGGAAUUUCCAGUGGAGCGGUGAAAUGCGUAGAUAUUGGAAAGAACACCAACAGCGAAGGCACUUUACUGGGCCAUUACUGACACUGAGAGACGAAAGCUAAGGGAGCAAACGGGAUUAGAUACCCCAGUAGUC
This 442-nucleotide ribosomal RNA is filed under the name uncultured bacterium. RNAcentral's name for it is "bacterial SSU rRNA". It matches the Rfam family "Bacterial small subunit ribosomal RNA", at positions 338 to 795 of the family's 1533-position model. The record is from RNAcentral.